RNAcentral lists this transfer RNA (76 nucleotides) under Mesorhizobium delmotii. RNAcentral's name for it is "tRNA-Thr". It matches the Rfam family "tRNA". Rfam says of the family: Transfer RNA (tRNA) molecules are approximately 80 nucleotides in length. Their secondary structure includes four short double-helical elements and three loops (D, anti-codon, and T loops). Further hydrogen bonds mediate the characteristic L-shaped molecular structure. tRNAs have two regions of fundamental functional importance: the anti-codon, which is responsible for specific mRNA codon recognition, and the 3' end, to which the tRNAs corresponding amino acid is attached (by aminoacyl-tRNA synthetases). tRNAs cope with the degeneracy of the genetic code in two manners: having more than one tRNA (with a specific anti-codon) for a particular amino acid; and 'wobble' base-pairing, i.e. permitting non-standard base-pairing at the 3rd anti-codon position. RNAcentral also lists the same sequence under 2 other names. The record is from RNAcentral. Lineage: Bacteria; Pseudomonadati; Pseudomonadota; Alphaproteobacteria; Hyphomicrobiales; Phyllobacteriaceae.
GCCCUUGUAGCUCAACUGGUAGAGCAGCGGUUUUGUAAACCGAAGGUCGGCGGUUCGAUUCCGUUCGGGGGCACCA